RNAcentral lists this transfer-messenger RNA (468 nucleotides) under Candidatus Omnitrophota. Its description in RNAcentral is "UBA1562 sp002322525 Standard tmRNA". It matches the Rfam family "transfer-messenger RNA". Rfam says of the family: Bacterial tmRNA, also known as 10Sa RNA or SsrA, is named for its dual tRNA and mRNA-like properties. Its role is to liberate the mRNA from a stalled ribosome. RNAcentral also lists the same sequence under 1 other name. Lineage: Bacteria; Pseudomonadati. The record is from RNAcentral.
GGGGGUGAAAGGGCUCGACUUAGGUUUGUUCGGUAGGAAGAGCAUGUAGAGGUUGCGAGGAAGCCUCUUAAAACACCUUGCAACAAUUAAACGCAGACGAAAGUCUAAUAAGAGAAGCUGAAGCGAUUGUUGCUCCAGUGUUUGAAGCCAAGGCCACCGGAUCAGAGAGCUUGCUUUCUGGUUCGACCGAGGCUUUCGCUGGAUUGGCAGUUGCUCCGGUAACUCCAGCGUUAGCUCUCGCUCCAUAAGCGAGACCUCUUACCUGUCCUGCCUGGGGACAGGAUAAGAGCCGAUUACAGGCUGGCCUUUACAGUUUGCCUUUGGCUGUGAGGGCAAGACCCUAAAAGGAUCGCCUGUGGCAAUCCUGCCUAGCGGAGUGUUACAGGUUAAAUUAAAAGAUAGGCUAAACAUGUAGUGCUUCUUAUUGAAAGACUUAGGGACGCGGCUUCGAUGCCGCCACCUCCACCA